CACGAGUCUGGUCACAGAGAUGCAAGAAAGCCUGAAUCCUUCCAAGAACUGCCAGGAAGACAGCAUGGCUGGAAUAUCUGAGCAUAUGAGGAUGGUCUCCAUUUUCAAGAAAACUCAGGAUUCAAGAAGUUCUCUCCAUCUGCAGCUAUCAAGUCAGCAGGAAGGAGGACUAGUGUUACUCCUCUGAUGCUGUUCUUGUAUUAUAAAAAGAAAAAUUAUAUGAGUGAAACUAAUCAAAUCACAAGAGAUCUUUAAAAGCAGAGAGCUUUCUCAAGCUGGCAGCAGAAGAGGAAUGCAGAUGGUGAAGUCAGAGAGAUCUGAGUCAAGAGAAGAAUCUGAUGGAGCAUUACUGUGAUGAAGAUGGAAGGACCAUGAACAAUGACUAGAGAGUGACCCCUCUCAUAACAACCAGCAAGAAUAUAGGGACCUCAGUCCUACAACCACAAGGAACCGAGUUUUGCCAACAACCUGAAUGAACCUGGAAAUGGAUUCUUUCCCAGAUUGUACAAAUAAGAGCCCAGUUUGGAUAGAUCCUUGAUUUUGGCAUUGUAAAACCCUAAGCAGAGACGCCAUCUGGACUUCUGACCUAGAGAAAUGUGAGCUAAUAACUGGGUGCUAU
Balaenoptera acutorostrata (minke whale) is the source of this 619-nucleotide long non-coding RNA. RefSeq lists it as uncharacterized. Lineage: Eukaryota; Metazoa; Chordata; Mammalia; Artiodactyla; Balaenopteridae. The transcript has 3 exons. The record is from RefSeq and is a predicted model, not a curated record.